UGUAGCCUACGGGGCGCAGCAGUGGGGGAUAUUGCACAAUGGGGGGAACCCUGAUGCAGCGACGCCGCGUGGGUGAAGAAGCGCCCCGGCGUGUAAAGCCCUGUCAGCAGGGAAGAAGAAGGACGGUACCUGACCAAGAAGCCCCGGCUAACUACGUGCCAGCAGCCGCGGUAAUACGUAGGGGGCAAGCGUUAUCCGGAUUUACUGGGUGUAAAGGGGGCGCAGACGGCGAUGCAAGCCAGGAGUGAAAGCCCGGGGCCCAACCCCGGGACUGCCCUUGGAACUGCGUGGCUGGAGUGCAGGAG
Molecule: ribosomal RNA, 305 nt
Filed under: uncultured bacterium
Lineage: Bacteria
Description: bacterial SSU rRNA
Rfam family: Bacterial small subunit ribosomal RNA
Source: RNAcentral